RNAcentral lists this transfer RNA (72 nucleotides) under Rhipicephalus microplus (southern cattle tick). RNAcentral describes it as "tRNA-Gly". It matches the Rfam family "tRNA". Rfam says of the family: Transfer RNA (tRNA) molecules are approximately 80 nucleotides in length. Their secondary structure includes four short double-helical elements and three loops (D, anti-codon, and T loops). Further hydrogen bonds mediate the characteristic L-shaped molecular structure. tRNAs have two regions of fundamental functional importance: the anti-codon, which is responsible for specific mRNA codon recognition, and the 3' end, to which the tRNAs corresponding amino acid is attached (by aminoacyl-tRNA synthetases). tRNAs cope with the degeneracy of the genetic code in two manners: having more than one tRNA (with a specific anti-codon) for a particular amino acid; and 'wobble' base-pairing, i.e. permitting non-standard base-pairing at the 3rd anti-codon position. The record is from RNAcentral. Lineage: Eukaryota; Metazoa; Arthropoda; Arachnida; Ixodida; Ixodidae.
GCUGUCGGUGGUUCAGUGGUAGAAUACUCGCCUGCCACGCGGGUGACCCGGGUUCGAUUCCCGGCUGACGCA